This 90-nucleotide ribosomal RNA is filed under the name Danio rerio (zebrafish). The record is from RNAcentral. Lineage: Eukaryota; Metazoa; Chordata; Actinopteri; Cypriniformes; Danionidae.
CAGACAGGUCGCCCACUGAAACUAAGCAGGGCUGCGCCUGGUCAGUACCUGGAUGGGAGACCACAUGGGAAAGCUAGGUUGCUUGUUAGU